Molecule: transfer RNA, 65 nt
Filed under: Aedes aegypti (yellow fever mosquito)
Lineage: Eukaryota; Metazoa; Arthropoda; Insecta; Diptera; Culicidae
Rfam family: tRNA
About the family: Transfer RNA (tRNA) molecules are approximately 80 nucleotides in length.
Source: Rfam by way of RNAcentral
CCUCUCAUGGCGUAGUGGUUAACGCGCCCCAACUAGAGUCGUGAGUUCGAUUCUCACUGAGAAGA